UACGGAGGAUCCAAGCGUUAUCCGGAAUCAUUGGGUUUAAAGGGUCCGUAGGCGGUUUAGUAAGUCAGUGGUGAAAGCCCAUCGCUCAACGGUGGAACGGCCAUUGAUACUGCUAGACUUGAAUUAUUAGGAAGUAACUAGAAUAUGUAGUGUAGCGGUGAAAAUGCUUAGAGAUUACAUGGAAUACCAAUUGCGAAGGCAGGUUACUACUAAUGGAUUGACGCUGAUGGACGAAAGCGUGGGUAGCGAACAGG
RNAcentral lists this ribosomal RNA (254 nucleotides) under uncultured bacterium. RNAcentral describes it as "partial 16S ribosomal RNA". It matches the Rfam family "Bacterial small subunit ribosomal RNA", at positions 524 to 776 of the family's 1533-position model. The record is from RNAcentral.